UACGUAGGGGGCUAGCGUUGUCCGGAAUCAUUGGGCGUAAAGAGCGUGUAGGCGGCCCGGUAAGUCCGCUGUGAAAGUCGGGGGCUCAACCCUCGAAUGCCGGUGGAUACUGUCGGGCUAGAGUGCGGAAGAGGCGAGUGGAAUUCCUGGUGUAGCGGUGGAAUGCGUAGAGAUCCGGAAGAACACCAGUGGCGAAGGCGGCCCGCUGGGCAGUGGCUGACGCUGAAGCGCGACAGCGUGGGGAGCAAACAGG
RNAcentral lists this ribosomal RNA (253 nucleotides) under uncultured bacterium. RNAcentral's name for it is "partial 16S ribosomal RNA". It matches the Rfam family "Bacterial small subunit ribosomal RNA", at positions 524 to 776 of the family's 1533-position model. The record is from RNAcentral.